RNAcentral lists this ribosomal RNA (413 nucleotides) under uncultured organism. RNAcentral's name for it is "SSU rRNA". It matches the Rfam family "Bacterial small subunit ribosomal RNA", at positions 505 to 916 of the family's 1533-position model. The record is from RNAcentral.
GUGCCAGCAGCCGGGUAAUACGUAGGGUGCGAGCGUUGUCCGGAAUUACUGGGCGUAAAGAGCUCGUAGGUGGUUUGUCGCGUUGUUCGUGAAAUCUCACGGCUUAACUGUGAGCGUGCGGGCGAUACGGGCAGACUGGAGUACUGCAGGGGAGACUGGAAUUCCUGGUGUAGCGGUGGAAUGCGCAGAUAUCAGGAGGAACACCGGUGGCGAAGGCGGGUCUCUGGGCAGUAACUGACGCUGAGGAGCGAAAGCGUGGGGAGCGAACAGGAUUAGAUACCCUGGUAGUCCACGCCGUAAACGGUGGGUACUAGGUGUGGGUUUCCUUCCUUGGGAUCCGUGCCGUAGCUAACGCAUUAAGUACCCCGCCUGGGGAGUACGGCCGCAAGGCUAAAACUCAAAGGAAUUGACGG